This 343-nucleotide long non-coding RNA is filed under the name Rattus norvegicus (Norway rat). Its description in RNAcentral is "long non-coding RNA NONRATT029482". Lineage: Eukaryota; Metazoa; Chordata; Mammalia; Rodentia; Muridae. The record is from RNAcentral.
CUGCAUCCUCAGCCUCCUUCCUGGGUCCCAGUGAACGUGUGGGCUGUGUGCUGUCACGCUUUUGGUCGCAGUCAUCCUCGGGGGCGUGUCUGCAUAGUCCUUUCUGGGUGGAAGCCGUGUGAUGUGUGGUGCUUGAGUUUGCGCAGACAAGCCAGACUCUUCCGUAAAUUCAGCUCGUUCUCAGACCUAGGAUGGAAGACUCAGCACCGGUGGGAAGCCAGGGUCAGCUCCCAAGCCCCCACCACGGCUCACUGAGGAGGGCGGUGGCUGCUGUCCUGGCCCUGGAUGGGGAAUCCACAUUGGGCCGUAGGAAGAAGAGGAGGAAAGACUCUCGCCCAGAAUC